This 192-nucleotide non-coding RNA is filed under the name Francisella orientalis. RNAcentral describes it as "Francisella noatunensis subsp. orientalis 6S RNA". It matches the Rfam family "6S / SsrS RNA". From Rfam's summary of the family: E. coli 6S RNA was the first non coding RNA to be sequenced, but its function was unknown until recently. It consists of 184 nucleotides that fold into an extended hairpin structure with a large single-stranded internal bulge. Lineage: Bacteria; Pseudomonadati; Pseudomonadota; Gammaproteobacteria; Thiotrichales; Francisellaceae. The record is from RNAcentral.
AGUUGUCUGGACUAUUGGUGAUUUAGUUGCAAUCUUGUACCGAUACUUAGAAUAGGGAGCUUGGUGUUUGAACUAGAGAGCAAGCUUUGAUGCAAUGCAUUCACAAAGAAGCCCAACGUUGAGACUAUGGCACCCAAACUUGAUGCCAUAGAGAUCAAGAACAUUGAACUAAAACGGUAAUCUGGACAACUA